Molecule: non-coding RNA, 32 nt
Filed under: Homo sapiens (human)
Lineage: Eukaryota; Metazoa; Chordata; Mammalia; Primates; Hominidae
Source: RNAcentral
AUGUGUGUCGUGCAUUGUUGAUAGAUUCCUGU